GUGUGUUUGUGUCUGACUGUGUGUGUGUAUGUGACUGUGUGUGUCUGUGUCUGACUGUGUGUGUCUGACUGUGUGUGUGUUUGUGUCUGACUGUGUGUGUGUGUGUGUGUGUCUGACUGUGUGUGUGUGUGUGUUUGUGUCUGUGUCUGUGUAUGUGUCUGACUGUGUGUGUGUGUGUGUUUGUGUAUGUGUCUGACUGUGUGUGUGUGUUUG
Pelobates cultripes (western spadefoot toad) is the source of this 213-nucleotide non-coding RNA. Lineage: Eukaryota; Metazoa; Chordata; Amphibia; Anura; Pelobatidae. The record is from the annotation of a GenBank genome assembly.